UACAGAGGGGGCAAGCGUUGUUCGGAAUUACUGGGCGUAAAGGGCGCGUAGGCGGCCGCCUAAGUCAGACGUGAAAUCCCCGGGCUCAACCCGGGAACUGCGUCUGAUACUGGCAGGCUUGAAUCCGGGAGAGGGAUGCGGAAUUCCAGGUGUAGCGGUGAAAUGCGUAGAUAUCUGGAGGAACACCGGUGGCGAAGGCGGCAUCCUGGACCGGCAUUGACGCUGAGGAGCGAAAGCCAGGGGAGCAAACGGG
RNAcentral lists this ribosomal RNA (253 nucleotides) under uncultured bacterium. RNAcentral describes it as "partial 16S ribosomal RNA". It matches the Rfam family "Bacterial small subunit ribosomal RNA", at positions 524 to 776 of the family's 1533-position model. The record is from RNAcentral.